Molecule: ribosomal RNA, 1315 nt
Filed under: Arthrobacter sp. FMS_60mD8
Lineage: Bacteria; Bacillati; Actinomycetota; Actinomycetes; Micrococcales; Micrococcaceae
Description: bacterial SSU rRNA
Rfam family: Bacterial small subunit ribosomal RNA
Source: RNAcentral
ACGUGAGUAACCUGCCCUUGACUCUGGGAUAAGCCUGGGAAACUGGGUCUAAUACCGGAUAUGACCUUCCAUCGCAUGGUGGUUGGUGGAAAGCUUUUGUGGUUUUGGAUGGACUCGCGGCCUAUCAGCUUGUUGGUGGGGUAAUGGCCUACCAAGGCGACGACGGGUAGCCGGCCUGAGAGGGUGACCGGCCACACUGGGACUGAGACACGGCCCAGACUCCUACGGGAGGCAGCAGUGGGGAAUAUUGCACAAUGGGCGCAAGCCUGAUGCAGCGACGCCGCGUGAGGGAUGACGGCCUUCGGGUUGUAAACCUCUUUCAGUAGGGAAGAAGCGAAAGUGACGGUACCUGCAGAAGAAGCGCCGGCUAACUACGUGCCAGCAGCCGCGGUAAUACGUAGGGCGCAAGCGUUAUCCGGAAUUAUUGGGCGUAAAGAGCUCGUAGGCGGUUUGUCGCGUCUGCCGUGAAAGUCCGGGGCUCAACUCCGGAUCUGCGGUGGGUACGGGCAGACUAGAGUGAUGUAGGGGAGACUGGAAUUCCUGGUGUAGCGGUGAAAUGCGCAGAUAUCAGGAGGAACACCGAUGGCGAAGGCAGGUCUCUGGGCAUUAACUGACGCUGAGGAGCGAAAGCAUGGGGAGCGAACAGGAUUAGAUACCCUGGUAGUCCAUGCCGUAAACGUUGGGCACUAGGUGUGGGGGACAUUCCACGUUUUCCGCGCCGUAGCUAACGCAUUAAGUGCCCCGCCUGGGGAGUACGGCCGCAAGGCUAAAACUCAAAGGAAUUGACGGGGGCCCGCACAAGCGGCGGAGCAUGCGGAUUAAUUCGAUGCAACGCGAAGAACCUUACCAAGGCUUGACAUGGACCGGACCGCCGCAGAAAUGUGGUUUCCCCUUUGGGGCCGGUUUACAGGUGGUGCAUGGUUGUCGUCAGCUCGUGUCGUGAGAUGUUGGGUUAAGUCCCGCAACGAGCGCAACCCUCGUUCUAUGUUGCCAGCGGUUCGGCCGGGGACUCAUAGGAGACUGCCGGGGUCAACUCGGAGGAAGGUGGGGACGACGUCAAAUCAUCAUGCCCCUUAUGUCUUGGGCUUCACGCAUGCUACAAUGGCCGGUACAAAGGGUUGCGAUACUGUGAGGUGGAGCUAAUCCCAAAAAGCCGGUCUCAGUUCGGAUUGGGGUCUGCAACUCGACCCCAUGAAGUCGGAGUCGCUAGUAAUCGCAGAUCAGCAACGCUGCGGUGAAUACGUUCCCGGGCCUUGUACACACCGCCCGUCAAGUCACGAAAGUUGGUAACACCCGAAGCCGGUGGCCUAACCCC